Molecule: ribosomal RNA, 468 nt
Filed under: uncultured bacterium
Lineage: Bacteria
Description: partial 16S ribosomal RNA
Rfam family: Bacterial small subunit ribosomal RNA
Source: RNAcentral
GACGAACGCUGGCGGCGUGCUUAACACAUGCAAGUCGAACGGAAAGGCCCUGCUUUUGUGGGGUGCUCGAGUGGCGAACGGGUGAGUAACACGUGAGUAACCUGCCCUUGACUUUGGGAUAACGUCAGGAAACUGGGGCUAAUACCGGAUAGGAGCUCCUGCUGCACGGUGGGGGUUGGAAAGUUUCGGCGGUUGGGGAUGGACUCGCGGCUUAUCAGCUUGUUGGUGGGGUAGUGGCUUACCAAGGCUUUGACGGGUAGCCGGCCUGAGAGGGUGACCGGCCACAUUGGGACUGGGAUACGGCCCAGACUCCUACGGGAGGCAGCAGUGGGGAAUAUUGCACAAUGGGCGGAAGCCUGAUGCAGCAACGCCGCGUGCGGGAUGACGGCCUUCGGGUUGUAAACCGCUUUCGCCUGUGACGAAGCGUGAGUGACGGUAAUGGGUAAAGAAGCACCGGCUAACUACGUG